RNAcentral lists this transfer RNA (68 nucleotides) under Dreissena polymorpha. RNAcentral describes it as "tRNA-His". Lineage: Eukaryota; Metazoa; Mollusca; Bivalvia; Myida; Dreissenidae. The record is from RNAcentral.
CGCUGUGGCGUAGUGGAUAUGGUGUCCGCCUAUGGACCGGGAGGUCAUGGGUUCCAUCCCCAUGGUGG